GAUGAACGCUGGCGGCGUGCCUAAUACAUGCAAGUCGAGCGAACAGACGAGGAGCUUGCUCCUCUGACGUUUGCGGCGGACGGGUGAGUCACACGUGGAUAACCUACCUAUAAGACUGGGAUAACUUCGGGAAACCGGAGCUAAUACCGGAUAAUAUAUUGAACCGCAUGGUUCAAUAGUGAAUGACGGUUUUGCUGUCACUUCUCGAUGGUUCCGCGCCGCAUUAGCUAGUUGGUAAGGUAACGGGUUACCAAGGCAACGAUGCGUAGCCGACCUGAGAGAGUGAUCGGCCACACGGGAGCUGAGACACGGUCCAGACUCCUACGGGAGGCAGCAGUAGGGAAUCGUCCGCAAUGGGCGAAAGCUUGACGGAGCAACGCCGCGUGAGUGAUGAAGGUCUUCGGAUCGUAAAACUCUGUUAUGAGGGAAGAACAAAUGUGUAAGUAACUAUGCACGUCUUGACGGUACCUAAUCAGAAAGCCACGGCUAACUACGUG
Molecule: ribosomal RNA, 497 nt
Filed under: uncultured bacterium
Lineage: Bacteria
Description: partial 16S ribosomal RNA
Rfam family: Bacterial small subunit ribosomal RNA
Source: RNAcentral